This 489-nucleotide ribosomal RNA is filed under the name uncultured bacterium. Its description in RNAcentral is "partial 16S ribosomal RNA". It matches the Rfam family "Bacterial small subunit ribosomal RNA", at positions 30 to 506 of the family's 1533-position model. The record is from RNAcentral.
AUUGAACGCUGGCGGCAGGCCUAACACAUGCAAGUCGAACGGUAACAGGGAUCAGCUUGCUGAUUCGCUGACGAGUGGCGGACGGGUGAGUAAUGUCUGGGAAACUGCCUGAUGGAGGGGGAUAACUACUGGAAACGGUAGCUAAUACCGCAUAACGUCGCAAGACCAAAGAGGGGGACCUUCGGGCCUCUUGCCAUCGGAUGUGCCCAGAUGGGAUUAGCUAGUAGGUGGGGUAACGGCUCACCUAGGCGACGAUCCCUAGCUGGUCUGAGAGGAUGACCAGCCACACUGGAACUGAGACACGGUCCAGACUCCUACGGGAGGCAGCAGUGGGGAAUAUUGCACAGUGGGCGCAAGCCUGAUGCAGCCAUGCCGCGUGUAUGAAGAAGGCCUUCGGGUUGUAAAGUACUUUCAGCGGGGAGGAAGGGAGUAAAGUUAAUACCUUUGCUCAUUGACGUUACCCGCAGAAGAAGCACCGGCUAACUCCGU